GUUCCUAUGGCCAUUAUCUACAAAAGGGUGUCUCAGAUUUCAGAUAGAAUGUAUAAAACAAAUUUUACACCAAAUCAAACAUAAUCUUCUUUUAUGUGGUUAGGAUGUUUACACUAAUUAGAGAUUAAUGAGAGAAUGGAAUACCAUAAGAACAAUUUGAGACACCCUUUUGAAGCCCAUGAUGUGUUGAUUAAGAUUUCGUUAAAAUUUUCUGUAUAGUUAAAGAAAUGAUAGAGCUAAAUUCAUUCAAGUGAACUGACCCAGAUUUUGCCACUAAUUACAUAAUGAUUGCAUAAUAAAAAUAUUGCAACCAUUUAAAAGAUUAAUCUUUUAUCUUUCUAUAUAUGCCUCUUUUAUUAUUUUCUAUGCAUUCAUAAGAAAGUUAC
RNAcentral lists this long non-coding RNA (386 nucleotides) under Mytilus galloprovincialis (Mediterranean mussel). The record is from RNAcentral. Lineage: Eukaryota; Metazoa; Mollusca; Bivalvia; Mytilida; Mytilidae.